This 196-nucleotide small RNA is filed under the name Pseudomonas extremaustralis. Its description in RNAcentral is "Pseudomonas sRNA P4". Lineage: Bacteria; Pseudomonadati; Pseudomonadota; Gammaproteobacteria; Pseudomonadales; Pseudomonadaceae. The record is from RNAcentral.
GAAGAAUCUCCUUUCGUCGUGUUUGUACGUUUGAGGUAGAGGGCUCUUGCAUGACGCCAUGGCUUCGGUCCCAGGCCGUGUUCCGGGGGUGGCAGGGGUGAGGCCAUGGGUAGGUAAUUUCGCAGCAUCCGAUGACAGCAAAAGGAAAAAACCUCGGGAGGAAGGGCUUGAUUUUUAAAAAGAUUCUCGGGUGUUU